AAAAGAACAUGAGAUCACAAAGAAGGCCUGAUUAUGCAAUUAUUACCUAUGGGGGUUAGGGAUAGCUGUACUGCAGCAGAGGCAAUUGGGGCCAAUAUUACACAGUCCUUAAGCUAAAAAUGCCAGAGGUAAGCCUGAGACCCAGUGCCGACUAAUUUAAUUAAGAAGAUCUCUGCUGGAGGGUGUCUGGGAAAGAAUUUUCUUCUUAAAGAGAGAUGGAUGAAGAUAAGACUUUUCCCUCCCUCCCUUCUUGUUGGGUAUGUUUGGUGUGAAGAUAUGCCAUACAGAUCUACUGCACCUAUUUGGGCACCAUGAGGAAGAGGCCAACAAAAUUCUAGAGAAGGCAACCCAGUGCUCUGGCAGUAUUGAGGCUCCAAACCAGCCCUGGAAAGUUCUACAGUGGAACUCCAUCAUAUGUGCAUUAAACUGAAUUGAAAUCAUACGACUCAGCAAAAUCAACAUAACAACUGAUGACAACAAAAACA
Molecule: long non-coding RNA, 485 nt
Filed under: Pan troglodytes (chimpanzee)
Lineage: Eukaryota; Metazoa; Chordata; Mammalia; Primates; Hominidae
Description: long non-coding RNA NONPTRT017496
Source: RNAcentral